AGAAGUACCGUGAGGGAAAGGUGAAAAGAACCCCGGGAGGGGAGUGAAAUAGAACCUGAAACCGUGUGCUUACAAACAGUCAGAGGACGUUAAUGUCUGAUGGCGUGCUUUUUGUAGAACGAGCCAGCGAGUUACGAUGUGCAGCAAGGUUAAGUACUUAAGGUACGGAGCCGAAGGGAAACCGAGUCUGAAUAGGGCAAAUAGUUGCAUGUCGUAGACCCGAAACCGGGUGACCUAUCCAUGGACAGGUUGAAGCGGAAGUAAAAUUCCGUGGAGGACCGAACCACAUUGGUGUUGAAAAACCAUGGGAUGAGCUGUGGAUAGCGGAGAAAUUCCAAUCGAACUCGGAGAUAGCUGGUUCUCCUCGAAAUAUCUUUAGGGAUAGCGUCGGGAAAUUAAGUAGUGGAGGUAGAGCACUGAAUGGGCUAGGGGCCUUUUAGGUUACUGAACCCUAUCAAACUCCGAAUGCCAUAUACUUGUAUCCCGGCAGUCAGACUGCGAGUGAUAAGAUCCGUAGUCAAAAGGGAAACAGCCCAGAUCAUCAGCUAAGGUCCCAAAGUGUAAGUUAAGUGGAAAAGGAUGUGGGAUUUCUAAGACAACUAGGAUGUUGGCUUAGAAGCAGCCACUCAUUUAAAGAGUGCGUAAUAGCUCACUAGUCGAGAGAUCCUGCGCCGAAGAUGUCCGGGGCUAAAACUUACCACCGAAGCUAUGAAUGUGCCGUACGGCACGUGGUAGAGGAGCUUUCUGCAUUGGCUGAAGUCAUACCGUGAGGAGUGGUGGACGAUGCAGAAGUGAGUAUGCUGGCAUAAGUAGCGAGAAAUGAGUGAGAAUCUCAUUGGUCGAAAACCUAAGGUUUCCUGAGGAAGGCUCGUCCGCUCAGGGUUAGUCGGGACCUAAGCCGAGGCCGAAAGGCGUAGGUGAUGGACAAUCGGUUUAUAUUCCGAUACCAGAAGUGGCGUUAUUAGAGAAGGAGUGACGCAGAAGGAUAAGGUGUGCACACUG
This 1002-nucleotide non-coding RNA is filed under the name Clostridium sp. USBA 49. RNAcentral describes it as "Bacterial large subunit ribosomal RNA". It matches the Rfam family "Bacterial large subunit ribosomal RNA", at positions 494 to 1497 of the family's 2925-position model. Lineage: Bacteria; Bacillati; Bacillota; Clostridia; Eubacteriales; Clostridiaceae. The record is from Rfam by way of RNAcentral.